RNAcentral lists this long non-coding RNA (285 nucleotides) under Musa acuminata (dwarf banana). RNAcentral describes it as "long non-coding RNA (MACU_LNC010848)". The record is from RNAcentral. Lineage: Eukaryota; Viridiplantae; Streptophyta; Magnoliopsida; Zingiberales; Musaceae.
AAAAGGGGAAAGAGAAUGUUGUUGCAGAUGCGCUUUCGCAGCUACCUGAGCAAGCUGAAUUUUCGAUCGUUUUACUUCCAACCAGCGACUUCCUUGAGGAUAUUAAGAUGGAAUGACAGGAAGAUUCGGAUACCAGUAAGAUCAAAAAAAAUUAGAGGAAGCACCAAGCUCCGUGGCUCAUUACAAUCGAGACUCAAAAGAAUUAUGCUAUAAGGGAUGCAUUGUGCUUGUGACAAAUUCUACUUGCAUCUUCAAGAGCAGAUUUUGGACAAAGUUAUUCCAUAU